This 559-nucleotide long non-coding RNA is filed under the name Heterocephalus glaber (naked mole-rat). RNAcentral describes it as "lncRNA (ENSHGLG00000039491.1)". Lineage: Eukaryota; Metazoa; Chordata; Mammalia; Rodentia; Bathyergidae. The record is from RNAcentral.
CUAACCUUCACAUCCCAGACACACACACGUACACGCACACACAUGCAUGCACACACAUACACACACACUCACCCCUACCCACCCAGCAACCACAUGAGGGUGUGACUCAGCCUUGAGUGCCCUCCCUGUGUGUACAAGUCCACCCCCUACUGCCUCUCAGCCCCAGCUGUGGGACUCCUGGAGCCCACCUGCCUCCCAACAACCCUGUCUGCAGGACCAGGUCCCUUCAGGAUGACACCCCCCGCUGAGUGACAGUGUGCUGGGGGCGGGUAUGGACUUCUUCCUCGGCAGUCUCAGGCUUCCUGGCUGGGCCCUGUGAAUGAGGCCAGCCACAGGCAGAGUCAGGAGAGAACAAACAGGGCUUUUCUGCUGGUUCUCAGUGACUUUUACCUCAAAAUAAUCCAUGUGCCAAACAAGCAUAUUUUGGGAUAGCAUCUUCUGGUACCCUUCACUGAGUUUUCCAGCAAGCUAUAAAUAGGCAAAACUAUGAGAGUGGUCUGUGGAGCUUUACAGUUGGACCCUGGCUCCAGGAAUGUGUCUGACUUUGGCAUUAGCUUCG